GCCUGGCUAGCUCAGUUGGUAGAGCAUGAGACUCUUAAUCUCAGGGUCAUGGGUUUGUUACCCAUGUUGGGUG
RNAcentral lists this transfer RNA (73 nucleotides) under Cricetulus griseus (Chinese hamster). It matches the Rfam family "tRNA". Rfam says of the family: Transfer RNA (tRNA) molecules are approximately 80 nucleotides in length. Their secondary structure includes four short double-helical elements and three loops (D, anti-codon, and T loops). Further hydrogen bonds mediate the characteristic L-shaped molecular structure. tRNAs have two regions of fundamental functional importance: the anti-codon, which is responsible for specific mRNA codon recognition, and the 3' end, to which the tRNAs corresponding amino acid is attached (by aminoacyl-tRNA synthetases). tRNAs cope with the degeneracy of the genetic code in two manners: having more than one tRNA (with a specific anti-codon) for a particular amino acid; and 'wobble' base-pairing, i.e. permitting non-standard base-pairing at the 3rd anti-codon position. The record is from Rfam by way of RNAcentral. Lineage: Eukaryota; Metazoa; Chordata; Mammalia; Rodentia; Cricetidae.